RNAcentral lists this ribosomal RNA (492 nucleotides) under uncultured bacterium. RNAcentral's name for it is "partial 16S ribosomal RNA". It matches the Rfam family "Bacterial small subunit ribosomal RNA", at positions 29 to 507 of the family's 1533-position model. The record is from RNAcentral.
AGUGAACGCUGGCGGUAGGCCUAACACAUGCAAGUCGAACGGCAGCACAGUAAGAGCUUGCUCUUACGGGUGGCGAGUGGCGGACGGGUGAGGAAUACAUCGGAAUCUACUUUUUCGUGGGGGAUAACGUAGGGAAACUUACGCUAAUACCGCAUACGACCUACGGGUGAAAGCAGGGGACCUUCGGCCCUUGCGCGAUUGAAUGUGCGGAUGUCGGAUUAGCUAGUUGGCGGGGUAAAGGCCCACCAAGGCGACGAUCCGUAGCUGGUCUGAGAGGAUGAUCAGCCACACUGGAACUGAGACACGGUCCAGACUCCUACGGGAGGCAGCAGUGGGGAAUAUUGGACAAUGGGCGCAAGCCUGAUCCAGCCAUACCGCGUGGGUGAAGAAGGCCUUCGGGUUGUAAAGCCCUUUUGUUGGGAAAGAAAAGCAGCAGGUUAAUACCCCGCUGUUCUGACGGUACCAAAAGAAUAAGCACCGGCUAACUUCGUG